RNAcentral lists this long non-coding RNA (834 nucleotides) under Coturnix japonica (Japanese quail). RNAcentral's name for it is "lncRNA (ENSCJPG00005012448.1)". The record is from RNAcentral. Lineage: Eukaryota; Metazoa; Chordata; Aves; Galliformes; Phasianidae.
AAAAAUGAAAGUGAGUAGGAGAGUAUGCAGACCAAACAGAAACAUCUCCCUGCUCUAGCUUGUAAUCUUGCAAGCUGUAAGGGUGAUUUCAUAAUAUACAGAUGGUGGGAAGUAGCAUCAAUGGUGUUCUCUGGCACUUACUGAUGAUCUAUAAAAAGGCUGAAAUAUUUGUGGGACAAAGAAUUAGGGACCGCAGCAGUUGGUGCCAUGGCUGCCUGCUUAAUUCCUGUUGACACAGUCUGUAGCUCAGUGGUAGAGGGGUGGGGAUUCUCUGACUGCUGGUCAGAAUUGGAGGUGGGGGAGUCAGAUUAAUGGUUCUUGCUCGAGACAUGAGCCUAUUACAGGGGAUUAUUAUUAGUGGAAUUAGGCAUCUUGGAACAGAGCACAGCUCCAUCAAACUGAGUGUCGUGUGACAAGAAGAGGCAUCUGCUGACACAUUAAAUGAAGCAAAUUAUGCUCCUACCCUUCGCGCAGGAAAAGAGACCUGGCAUCUGCAUCUGUUUAUCUAUUGGACAAGGACUGACACUGACUGAAUUCACUGCUAAAUUUGCCACAGCUAAGGUUAAACAAAAGGAAACAAGUGAUGCCGUCUGUGCCAAUGCCCACUAGGAGCAGAAGUCUCAAACCUGUGAGCUUGGAACCCUCACUCAGAACUACAGCAAGUAUUGAGGAUGUUCAUUGCCCCCAUGGUGUCAGUCUUCCAUAGUUAAGACUGUCACAGGAUAAGAAAACACUAAUGACAAACUUCUGAAAGACCUUCCCUAUUUACUUGAGGCAAAUUUUGUUUCUAUUAACUAUUAGGCUCCUUCUGAAUAAACCAUCAAAGUCAUUACA